GACGAACGCUUGCGGCGUGCUUAACACAUGCAAGUCGAGCGGUAAGGCCCUUUCGGGGGUACACGAGCGGCGAACGGGUGAGUAACACGUGGGUGACCUGCCCUCAGCUCUGGGAUAAGCCUGGGAAACCGGGUCUAAUACUGGAUAUGACUCCAUGACGCAUGUUGUGGGGUGGAAAGCCUUGUGCGGCUGAGGAUGGGCCCGCGGCCUAUCAGCUUGUUGGUGGGGUGANGGCCUACCAAGGCGACGACGGGUAGCCGGCCUGAGAGGGCGACCGGCCACACUGGGACUGAGACACGGCCCAGACUCCUACGGGAGGCAGGCAGUGGGGAAUCUUGCGCAAUGGGCGAAAGCCUGACGCAGCGACGCCGCGUGAGGGAUGACGGCCU
Molecule: ribosomal RNA, 389 nt
Filed under: uncultured bacterium
Lineage: Bacteria
Description: bacterial SSU rRNA
Rfam family: Bacterial small subunit ribosomal RNA
Source: RNAcentral